AGGGGAAGUCGGUGAAAGUCCGGCGCUGACCCGCAACCGUGAGCACGCGCCCCGCCGGGCCGUGUGAGCCGGAGCACCU
Molecule: non-coding RNA, 79 nt
Organism: Streptomyces hygroscopicus
Lineage: Bacteria; Bacillati; Actinomycetota; Actinomycetes; Kitasatosporales; Streptomycetaceae
Source: Rfam